GGUUAAGCGACUAAGCGUACACGGUGGAUGCCCUGGCAGUCAGAGGCGAUGAAGGACGUGCUAAUCUGCGAAAAGCGUCGGUAAGGUGAUAUGAACCGUUACAGCCGGCGAUGUCCGAAUGGGGAAACCCAGUGCAAUUCGUUGCACUAUCGUUAACUGAAUACAUAGGUUAACGAGGCGAACCGGGGGAACUGAAACAUCUAAGUACCCCGAGGAAAAGAAAUCAACCGAGAUUCCCCCAGUAGCGGCGAGCGAACGGGGAGCAGCCCAGAGUCUGAAUCAGCUUGUGUGUUAGUGGAACGGUCUGGAAAGUCCGACGGUACAGGGUGAUAGUCCCGUACACCAAAAUGCACAGGCUGUGAACUCGAAGAGUAGGGCGGGACACGUGGUAUCCUGUCUGAAUAUGGGGGGACCAUCCUCCAAGGCUAAAUACUCCUGACUGACCGAUAGUGAACCAGUACCGUGAGGGAAAGGCGAAAAGAACCCCGGCGAGGGGAGUGAAAAAGAACCUGAAACCGUGUACGUACAAGCAGUGGGAGCACCUUCGGGUGUGACUGCGUACCUUUUGUAUAAUGGGUCAGCGACUUAUAUUCUGUAGCAAGGUUAACCGUAUAGGGGAGCCGCAGGGAAACCGAGUCUUAACUGGGCGUUAAGUUGCAGGGUAUAGACCCGAAACCCGGUGAUCUAGCCAUGGGCAGGUUGAAGGUUGGGUAACACUAACUGGAGGACCGAACCGACUAAUGUUGAAAAAUUAGCGGAUGACUUGUGGCUGGGGGUGAAAGGCCAAUCAAACCGGGAGAUAGCUGGUUCUCCCCGAAAGCUAUUUAGGUAGCGCCUCGUGAAUUCAUCUUCGGGGGUAGAGCACUGUUUCGGCUAGGGGGUCAUCCCGACUUACCAACCCGAUGCAAACUACGAAUACCGAAGAAUGUUAUCACGGGAGACACACGGCGGGUGCUAACGUCCGUCGUGAAGAGGGAAACAACCCAGACCGCCAGCUAAGGUCCCAAAGUCACAGUUAAGUGGGAAACGAUGUGGGAAGGCACAGACAGCCAGGAUGUUGGCUUAGAAGCAGCCAUCAUUUAAAGAAAGCGUAAUAGCUCACUGGUCGAGUCGGCCUGCGCGGAAGAUGUAACGGGGCUAAACUGUGCACCGAAGCUGCGGCAGCGACACUAUGUGUUGUUGGGUAGGGGAGCGUUCUGUAAGCCUGCGAAGGUGGCCUGUGAGGGUUGCUGGAGGUAUCAGAAGUGCGAAUGCUGACAUAAGUAACGAUAAUGCGGGUGAAAAGCCCGCACGCCGGAAGACCAAGGGUUCCUGUCCAACGUUAAUCGGGGCAGGGUGAGUCGACCCCUAAGGCGAGGCCGAAAGGCGUAGUCGAUGGGAAACAGGUUAAUAUUCCUGUACUUGGUGUUACUGCGAAGGGGGGACGGAGAAGGCUAUGUUAGCCGGGCGACGGUUGUCCCGGUUUAAGCAUGUAGGCGGAGGUUCCAGGUAAAUCCGGUACCUUUUAACGCUGAGGUGUGAUGACGAGGCACUACGGUGCUGAAGUAACAAAUGCCCUGCUUCCAGGAAAAGCCUCUAAGCAUCAGGUAACAUUGAAUCGUACCCCAAACCGACACAGGUGGUCAGGUAGAGAAUACCAAGGCGCUUGAGAGAACUCGGGUGAAGGAACUAGGCAAAAUGGUGCCGUAACUUCGGGAGAAGGCACGCUGAUAUGUAGGUGAAGNCCCUGCGGGUGGAGCUGAAAUCAGUCGAAGAUACCAGCUGGCUGCAACUGUUUAUUAAAAACACAGCACUGUGCAAACACGAAAGUGGACGUAUACGGUGUGACGCCUGCCCGGUGCCGGAAGGUUAAUUGAUGGGGUUAUCCGUAAGGAGAAGCUCUUGAUCGAAGCCCCGGUAAACGGCGGCCGUAACUAUAACGGUCCUAAGGUAGCGAAAUUCCUUGUCGGGUAAGUUCCGACCUGCACGAAUGGCGUAAUGAUGGCCAGGCUGUCUCCACCCGAGACUCAGUGAAAUUGAACUCGCUGUGAAGAUGCAGUGUACCCGCGGCAAGACGGAAAGACCCCGUGAACCUUUACUAUAGCUUGACACUGAACAUUGAGCCUUGAUGUGUAGGAUAGGUGGGAGGCUUUGAAGCGUGGACGCCAGUCUGCGUGGAGCCAACCUUGAAAUACCACCCUUUAAUGUUUGAUGUUCUAACGUUGGCCCCUAAUCGGGGUUGCGGACAGUGUCUGGUGGGUAGUUUGACUGGGGCGGUCUCCUCCCAAAGAGUAACGGAGGAGCACGAAGGUUAGCUAAUCCUGGUCGGACAUCAGGAGGUUAGUGCAAUGGCAUAAGCUAGCUUGACUGCGAGCGUGACGGCGCGAGCAGGUGCGAAAGCAGGUCAUAGUGAUCCGGUGGUUCUGAAUGGAAGGGCCAUCGCUCAACGGAUAAAAGGUACUCCGGGGAUAACAGGCUGAUACCGCCCAAGAGUUCAUAUCGACGGCGGUGUUUGGCACCUCGAUGUCGGCUCAUCACAUCCUGGGGCUGAAGUAGGUCCCAAGGGUAUGGCUGUUCGCCAUUUAAAGUGGUACGCGAGCUGGGUUUAGAACGUCGUGAGACAGUUCGGUCCCUAUCUGCCGUGGGCGCUGGAGAAUUGAGGGGGGCUGCUCCUAGUACGAGAGGACCGGAGUGGACGCAUCACUGGUGUUCGGGUUGUCAUGCCAAUGGCAUUGCCCGGUAGCUAAAUGCGGAAGAGAUAAGUGCUGAAAGCAUCUAAGCACGAAACUUGCCCCGAGAUGAGUUCUCCCUGAGACUUUAAGUCUCCUGAAGGAACGUUAAAGACGAUGACGUUGAUAGGUCGGGUGUGUAAGCGUAGCGAUACGUUGAGCUAACCGAUACUAAUGAACCGUGAGGCUUAACCUU
Molecule: ribosomal RNA, 2904 nt
Filed under: Klebsiella aerogenes
Lineage: Bacteria; Pseudomonadati; Pseudomonadota; Gammaproteobacteria; Enterobacterales; Enterobacteriaceae
Description: 23S ribosomal RNA
Rfam family: Bacterial large subunit ribosomal RNA
Source: RNAcentral